UACGUAGGGUGCAAGCGUUAAUCGGAAUUACUGGGCUUAAAGCGUGCGCAGGCGGUGAUGUAAGACAGAUGUGAAAUCCCCGGGCUCAACUUGGGAACUGCAUUUGUGACUGCAUCGCUGGAGUGCGGCAGAGGGGGAUGGAAUUCCGCGUGUAGCAGUGAAAUGCGUAGAUAUGCGGAGGAACACCGAUGGCGAAGGCAAUCCCCUGGGCCUGCACUGACGCUCAUGCACGAAAGCGUGGGGAGCAAACAGG
This 253-nucleotide ribosomal RNA is filed under the name uncultured bacterium. Its description in RNAcentral is "partial 16S ribosomal RNA". It matches the Rfam family "Bacterial small subunit ribosomal RNA", at positions 524 to 776 of the family's 1533-position model. The record is from RNAcentral.